GUGGGGAAUAUUGGACAAUGGGCGAAAGCCUGAUCCAGCCAUGCCGCGUGAGUGAUGAAGGCCUUAGUGUUGUAAAGCUCUUUCAGUAGGGAAGAUAAUGACGGUACCUACAGAAGAAGCCCCGGCUAACUUCGUGCCAGCAGCCGCGGUAAUACGAAGGGGGCUAGCGUUGUUCGGAUUUACUGGGCGUAAAGCGCACGUAGGCGGAUUGGUCAGUUAGAGGUGAAAUCCUGGAGCUCAACUCCAGAACUGCCUUUAAUACUGCCAGUCUAGAGUCCAGAAGAGGUGAGUGGAACUCCUAGUGUAGAGGUGGAAUUCGUAGAUAUUAGGAAGAACACCAGUGGCGAAGGCGGCUCACUGGUCUGGUACUGACGCUGAGGUGCGAAAGCGUGGGGAGCAAACAGGAUUAGAAACCCGAGUAGUCC
Molecule: ribosomal RNA, 425 nt
Filed under: uncultured bacterium
Lineage: Bacteria
Description: bacterial SSU rRNA
Rfam family: Bacterial small subunit ribosomal RNA
Source: RNAcentral